AGUAGGGUUGGGUAGUAUUCGAAGCUUACUGCUUCCAAGAAAAGUUUGGAUGAUUCCGCCAUCCCGGGUUGUAUGUAUUGGAAAAUGGGUCAUUACCCGAUCUGGGCUGUGUUUGAGCAGCAUUAAUGUGUUCUUAUACGAGUUCGGGGAAUUGGGGUGCUGAGGGGCACUCAUGAAUAGGGUGGGAUGGGCUAGAACAGAUAGCACACACUUGUGCUUGGGAAGAGUUAAUGAAAUGUCCUCCUAUCAUCCGUUGGUCAAUCUUAUGGGACAAUGC
Molecule: long non-coding RNA, 277 nt
Filed under: Phoenix dactylifera (date palm)
Lineage: Eukaryota; Viridiplantae; Streptophyta; Magnoliopsida; Arecales; Arecaceae
Description: long non-coding RNA (PDAC_LNC013550)
Source: RNAcentral